RNAcentral lists this ribosomal RNA (376 nucleotides) under uncultured bacterium. RNAcentral's name for it is "bacterial SSU rRNA". It matches the Rfam family "Bacterial small subunit ribosomal RNA", at positions 524 to 898 of the family's 1533-position model. The record is from RNAcentral.
UACAGAGGUGGCAAGCGUUGCUCGGAAUCACUGGGCUUAAAGGGCGUGCAGGCGGCCAAGUAAGCGUUUUGUGAAAUCCCCCGGCUCAACCGGGGAAUUGCUUGACGAACUGCUUGGCUCGAGGGAGGCAGGGGCAACUGGAACUCUGGGUGGAGCGGUGAAAUGCGUAGAUAUCCAGGGGAACGCCGGUGGAGAAAUCGGGUUGCUGGGCCUUACCUGACGCUGAGGCGCGAAAGCCAGGGGAGCGAACGGGAUUAGAUACCCCGGUAGUCCUGGCCGUAAACGAUGUGAACUGGGUCGGGGCGGUUUUACCGCCGUCCCGGCCGGAGCAAAAGCGUUAAGUUCACCGCCUGGGAAAUACGGCCGCAAGGUUAAA